RNAcentral lists this non-coding RNA (64 nucleotides) under Streptomyces sp. WZ.A104. The record is from RNAcentral. Lineage: Bacteria; Bacillati; Actinomycetota; Actinomycetes; Kitasatosporales; Streptomycetaceae.
AGGCGAAACCUCCCGAGAGGAGGUCGUCGCGGGAGGCUCCCGCGGCCUGAAGAGCCAGCCAGUA